AAUGAACGCUGGCGGCAUGCCUAACACAUGCAAGUCGAACGAAGGCAUCGGCCGUAGUGGCGCACGGGUGCGUAACGCGUGGGAAUAUGCACAUGGGUUUGGAAUAACAGUUAGAAAUGACUGAUAAUACCGGAUGGUGUCGUAAGACCAAAGAUUUAUCGCACAAGGAUGAGCCCGCGUAGGAUUCGCUAGUUGGUAGGGUAAAGGCCUACCAAGGCGACGAUCCUUAGCUGGUCUGAGAGGAUGAUCAGCCACACUGGGACUGAGACACGGCCCAGACUCCUACGGGAGGCAGCAGUGGGGAAUAUUGGAAAGUGGGCGAAAGGCUGAACCAGCAAUGCCGCGUGAGUGAUGAAGGCCUUAGAGUUGUAAAGCUCUUUUACCCGGGAUGAUAAUGACAGUACCGGGAGAAUAAGCCCCGGCUAACUUCGUG
RNAcentral lists this ribosomal RNA (433 nucleotides) under uncultured bacterium. RNAcentral's name for it is "partial 16S ribosomal RNA". It matches the Rfam family "Bacterial small subunit ribosomal RNA", at positions 29 to 507 of the family's 1533-position model. The record is from RNAcentral.